RNAcentral lists this ribosomal RNA (207 nucleotides) under uncultured bacterium. RNAcentral's name for it is "partial 16S ribosomal RNA". It matches the Rfam family "Bacterial small subunit ribosomal RNA", at positions 568 to 774 of the family's 1533-position model. The record is from RNAcentral.
CUCGUAGGCGGUUCGUCGCGUCCGGUGUGAAAGUCCAUCGCUUAACGGUGGAUCUGCGCCGGGUACGGGCGGGCUGGAGUGCGGUAGGGGAGACUGGAAUUCCCGGUGUAACGGUGGAAUGUGUAGAUAUCGGGAAGAACACCAAUGGCGAAGGCAGGUCUCUGGGCCGUUACUGACGCUGAGGCUCGAAAGCGUGGGGAGCAAACA